AGACUACUCCCUCCGUCCCGAAAUACUUGUCGGAUAGAUGGAUAAAAUUGGAUCCAUCUAUAACUAAAAUACGUCUAGAUUUAUCAAUUUCCCAGACAAGUAUUUCCGGACGGAGGGAGUACAUA
Non-coding RNA from Triticum aestivum (bread wheat), 125 nucleotides. The record is from Rfam. Lineage: Eukaryota; Viridiplantae; Streptophyta; Magnoliopsida; Poales; Poaceae.